GAGUUGCCAGAUUCAGAUUUCUGAAGUCGAUGUAAAUGCGCAAUGCACCACUUUUCUUUAAAACAGGAACGAUAUUUGCCAACCAUUCGACGUAUCGAGCUGUCCGAAUGAAUCUUGCUUUCAAGAGACGAACAAGUUCAUCCUUGAUGCCGAGUUGCACUUCGGUCGAGAAUCGUCGAGGUGGUUGACGGAAAGGUUUACACCCAGGUUUAAUACGUAACUCAUGCUCGACGAGAGUGCGAUCUAAGCCAGGCAUCUCAUGGUAGCUCCAAGCAAAACAAUCUUUGAACUCCUCAAGCAAAGCACGAAGUUCAGCUUUCAUAGGUUGGGGGAGCAAAGCACUAAUAAAUAAAGGUCGUGGGUCAUUGGCCGUCCCAACAUUAAUUUCGUCCAACGGGUCCUUGACUUAGGGCUGAUUGUCUUCGAGCUCGGCCGGGGUAACUUGAAUUUUGUUAAGAGAUAAGACAGGACCAUUUUCUCCUUCGGCGAGGAACUCUACGAGGUUAACGCCUAAAUUUGGUUGCUUAGAUAUAGUAUACCAAUGAGCCAGCAGUUGUUCUAUAGUAGAUGAAACCGCGGCCCUACGUUUUUCCCGAUCGGUGUCAAACAUCGGGGUCGGGGAUGAAGUCAGCUAACCCGAGUCUCACCGAAUCCUAGUGGACAGUUUCGGCGCCAACCUCGAUAGCUUUCUGCACAGAAAUCUGAGUCGGCUGUCCUUCAUCAUUGAAACCUUGUAGGGUGAUGUAGCCGAUAUGGUCAUCAUAAUACCGUGCUUGGAUCAUGUUAGCUUCGAACGGCUGACUAUCAAUCGGGUGAACAAUGACCGAUUUGCCGUCCCAAAAAAUAAGCACUUGAUAUAAUGACAAAGGGAUACAGCUGGUUUAAUGAAUCCAGUCUCGACCGAGCAGUGCAUUAUACUCGGUCUUGGAGUCGACGAUGAAAAAGGUGGUCAUGUGAUUACGGCCGGCGAUGUUUACUGCUAUAGGAAGCACCCCUUUGGUUUGGGAUUUGUCUCCAACGAAACUGCUCAUUGUGAUCCCAGAGGGGAUAAGUUCGUCGUUGGAGCGACGUAACACCUUCAUGAUGUUUACAGGCAUGAUAUUGACAGUGGCUCCACAGUCGACAAAAACUUUGGAGACUGCAUACCCUUUGAUAUGGGCCGUUACAUACAAUGGCUUCAAAUGAUGAAGUUUGGCCGAUGAUGAUCGAGGAAAUAAUUCGGCCAAAGCUGCCUUGAGGUUGUCAUCUUUU
Molecule: long non-coding RNA, 1251 nt
Filed under: Malus domestica (apple)
Lineage: Eukaryota; Viridiplantae; Streptophyta; Magnoliopsida; Rosales; Rosaceae
Description: long non-coding RNA (MDOM_LNC004203)
Source: RNAcentral